UUUGUCUUCUAGAUGACUCCAUGUUGGCUUUCUGACUUUGAUGAAAAAGCCAUCAAAUAGAGAGACUCACGGCAAGGAACCUAGCACCAACCCUGCAUGCCAGACUGUGAGGAGCUGAGGGCUCGGCCCAACAGCUCACAAAGACCUGAAUUCUGCCUGCAGCCAUAACCCAGCUAUGGGGAAAGCAGUCCAUGCCAGACGAGGAAGCUGGGUAGAUGCCCUGGUUGACAGGCCAGCUGAGUUUCAGCUGACAGCCAGCAGCAGCUGACAGCCACAGAAGGGAGACACUUUGGAGGCUCAGCCCAGUGAAGCCUUCAGCAGACUGCAGCCCCAGACUGCCCGUUACUGAAACCACAGGAGUGUGACCUCAAAUAAGAACCCGGUCAGCCAACAAAGAAAUGUGAGAAAUGGCCUUCACAGACUGGAUGAUGCCCACUCACGUGGGGGUUAUCUCCUGCUUUACCCAGUUCACCAACUAAAAUGUUAAACUCAUCAGGAAAAUCACAGAUGCUCUCAGAAACAUCUGAGCAAAUGUCUGGACAUCAGCGAUCCAGUUGAGAUUACACAAUGACUUUACUAAUGGAAAAUUCGUUAUCCCAAUUGAUGAGGAAAAAAAAAUCAAGAAGUCCAGCAAGGUACCGUGGAAAUGCUGGUGAGGCGACUGGACGAGGAGUGCAGCUGGAGGACUGGGACUCAGCAUGGUGAAGAAACAUGCUUAUUACGCAAGGCACUCAGGUGAAGCAUUUUGCCUGUUGGCUUCAAUAUAUUCUUAUUUGAGUAUGGAAAGAAAAGAUUGUCCUAGCCCUCAAAAGAGGAACUCAGUAAAAAUCUGGCAGUGAAGUUUCUGAAAGGAUGAGCUUCCUUUAGUAAUGCAACUCUGGAAGUUUCACUUCUCUCCUUCUCUUCCCGAACCAGAAGAUACUAAAUUAUGUGGACACAGUUGAAAAAUGUCAAUAGUAGAAUGGGGGUUAAGGCUGAUGACCAGGAAAGAGCCAGUUCAAUCUCGAGCCAAAAUGAUGGUGGUAAAAAUAUUCUUCUCCAAAAGUGUCCCUUCCCAAAUUGUCUCUGCACAUUGUUACAGACUAAAAUUACUCCUCUGAGUUCCCUUAAAGAAUAAUUGUUUUCAAAGUCACUUUGCCAAGGAAAAUGAUAGAAUAGGAAAGUCAACAGCAGAGAUUAAUUCACACUGAAAAUUAUUUUUCCUCCCACACGUCUUCAUUUUCUAACAUUUUUUUGAGGUUUCAGGCCGCAGGAAGCUCAGAUGUCAUCAAGCACAGCCUCCUCAUUUUAUAGAGGGGGAAGUAGGUAAGGAGUAUGUUAUUCAGAUUUUAGUCUGAUCUUAAAUUUAUUCUCCUCUGUAAAGGUUUAGUUCUUCAGUUCCUGGUGGUUGUUUCCCUCCGUAGUUCAUGGUGACCGAUCUGGAUUUUCUAAUAGGAAAUUAUUAUUUCUCAUCAAAGGACGAGGUUAAAUUCCUGAGGAUUAUGGGGAUACUUCAGAAAGUUCACAUGGAAAGGGAAUUAAAGGAUAAGUUUAUUUUGGUGCAAAAAGUUUUGAAAUCCAUGUGAAUCUUUUUCAUAGAAGACUCUCUCCAUGAACCUUUUGAACACUCUUCAUAUUCAAUUGAGGAGUGAACUGUUCAAUUUCUUUCACUUAAUCCACUACAUUUUUCUGUAUCUUUAACCUUUUUUAUUUCAGUCCUUCCUGUGUUAGAGGGAGGAAUGAUCUUAUUCUUUG
Molecule: non-coding RNA, 1734 nt
Organism: Oryctolagus cuniculus (rabbit)
Lineage: Eukaryota; Metazoa; Chordata; Mammalia; Lagomorpha; Leporidae
Source: RefSeq, a predicted model, not a curated record